Molecule: ribosomal RNA, 549 nt
Filed under: Salmonella enterica subsp. enterica serovar Derby
Lineage: Bacteria; Pseudomonadati; Pseudomonadota; Gammaproteobacteria; Enterobacterales; Enterobacteriaceae
Also listed under: 2 other names
Description: partial 23S ribosomal RNA
Rfam family: Bacterial large subunit ribosomal RNA
Source: RNAcentral
GCAAGGUUAACCGUAUAGGGGAGCCGGAGGGAAACCGAGUCUUAAUUGGGCGUUAAGUUGCAGGGUAUAGACCCGAAACCCGGUGAUCUAGCCAUGGGCAGGUUGAAGGUUGGGUAACACUAACUGGAGGACCGAACCGACUAAUGUUGAAAAAUUAGCGGAUGACCUGUGGCUGGGGGUGAAAGGCCAAUCAAACCGGGAGAUAGCUGGUUCUCCCCGAAAGCUAUUUAGGUAGCGCCUCGUGAAUUCAUCUCCGGGGGUAGAGCACUGUUUCGGCUAGGGGGCCAUCCCGGCUUACCAACCCGAUGCAAACUGCGAAUACCGGAGAAUGUUAUCACGGGAGACACACGGCGGGUGCUAACGUCCGUCGUGAAGAGGGAAACAACCCAGACCGCCAGCUAAGGUCCCAAAGUCAUGGUUAAGUGGGAAACGAUGUGGGAAGGCCCAGACAGCCAGGAUGUUGGCUUAGAAGCAGCCAUCAUUUAAAGAAAGCGUAAUAGCUCACUGGUCGAGUCGGCCUGCGCGGAAGAUGUAACGGGGCUAAACCAU